Panicum hallii is the source of this 2530-nucleotide long non-coding RNA. RefSeq lists it as uncharacterized. The transcript has 6 exons. Lineage: Eukaryota; Viridiplantae; Streptophyta; Magnoliopsida; Poales; Poaceae. The record is from RefSeq and is a predicted model, not a curated record.
CGUACCGGCGCCCGUGACCUCGUGGGCCCGCAGCGUGCCGCCCUCCCCAUUCCCCCUCUUCCCGGCGCCUGGCCGCCAUGGCCGCCGCCGCGCGGCCCCUAGCUGACGCCGGAAGCACUCGUGGCCGGAAGGAUACGGAGAAGGAAUACCUGGGUCCGUGAGCGUGUGGGGACAGAGGCAGCACAGUGGCAUCAGGGAGUCGGGCAUUCGUGACGGCUACGGCUGAAGAAUAUGCGCACGCGCAAUCCAGGAAAUCGACGGGCCAUUCAUGGAAGAGCUAAUGGAGAAGUUCAAAUCUAAGCUGUUUGAGAUGCAGCUGCAACCUCUCAUGGUCGGCACCGGCCUAGAUGAAGACACAAGCGGCGCGGGAGAAGCUGGACGACCACCGGUCCACCACCUCGGCUCGGAGCCGAACACCAGCCCGGACCUAGAAGGGAAGACAUCAAGGCGAGAAGAGGAUCAAAGAGGGAUGGCCUUCAGGCUAAGGCCAUAACAGAAGAAAACUCAUAUGGAGGCCAAGAAGAAAGGAACAUUGCACGAAAUGAAUUUUGGUUGACUGUUUGGACAAUCUUAAAAAACAUCAAGUGAAUGUGCGACUAGUUAGCUUUCCAGAAUAUAUCAUCUGAUGAGGGUGCAUAGCUUCUUUGACUGAAUUUAAGAGAUCGUCGCAUGUUUAAGCUUCCUUCAGCAAAAAGGGAUUACCUCCUGCCAGAUGGUGAAAAGCAUGAUUAUGAUUGGCUCAAGACUCCUCCAGCGACACCACUUAUUUCCCUCCCUUGAGAUGGAAGCCAACUCCUCUCAGAUGAUUUUGCAGAAGGAGCUGCCUUCAGCCGGUCAGAACUUCCAAGGGUAUGAUGAAUAUUGCACUUGUACCUCUCCCUUUACAUGUAAAUGACGUAGUUCAACUGCCACCAAGCUGAACUACUCAAUCAGGAAUCCAAAACAUUUCCACUAAUCAAUCAUCUCAUCUUUUGAGAAGCUGAUGUACUAACAUGUUCACAAGUGUGAGCAGCGGUGUACAAGGCGACAGGAACAUACCAGCCAGACUACCAGUUAUCCUUAUCACUCAUCAGGGAGGGGGGCUCCACGUGUCUCUGCUAUGUUGCGGUUCCUGUGAACUUGGCAUGUGAAGAGCAGCAGCUGCCCUGGCUCCGCUGUUACUGCUGUAAAUACAGGCACGCGCAUUUGCAGGAAAUGUCUCGGCACCUAACCUGCCCAAGCUUUUGGUCCGGCACCCAUGGCCACAGUUUGAGGGAUUACUUUAUAUACAAUGGAGAUCAUCGGACUGAAAAACGAUGCAAGUGGUUCUGGUGCCGCAUUAUCAUUUGACUGAAGUUAAGCCAAAUUGGGCAUUUGGUAAUAGCAGCUUAAGCUGAAAGCAGGCAGCACAUGCAGCAACAGCCGGUGCCUGCAAAAAGCAACCGCAGAGAAGAUCCAGCCGAGGAUUUCGCUCACUCGGGACACAUCCAUGCUGACGACUUCGUUCAUCAACCUGGUCAAAGGUAGACAGGUUCUUGUUCCCCUUAACACAAUUCUGGCUUAGGUCUUCGAUCUUCUUCUUCUUCUUCUUCUCUCACCUGCAUGAAUCUUCUUUCUCCUGGAAGCUAAUGAUAUGUUAAUUGAGAAACCAGACGCACAAAGUCAGCUGCUGAUGAAUAUUUUGUGCAGCAGUCAGUCUGGAAAUCGAGCUUGCAAAGGAAGAGGAGUCGUUGUCAGUUGUCACACACACACUGCACAACGUGCCGGUUGUUUCGAAGAAGCAUCUUUUUCCACAAGAAAUAUCCUUGUCGACGCCCAUGGCUAGAGCUACAGACUCGAGAGCAAUCUUUUUUGUUUCUCAAACUAACCAACUUUCUGCUACUGCCAUAAGCUACAGACGCGAAAGUAGUGAGAUAUUGGCCCGAAUCGUGCAGUAUGCUUUACUCUAUCUAUGAGUGCCGGCAGAAAACUUUGAUCGCUCAGAUUACACAUCCACGCUGACGACUUUGUUCGUUAACUUGGUCAAAGCUAGAACAUCGACCACUGUUUUUAUUUUCUCUUCGCAGUUCUGACUUUGACUUGUGACUUUGUGUUUUCUCGUGUCAGGUCAGUGAUUCAUGCUGCUCCCUCUGGGAAGCACUUGAUAUGUUAAAGUUCAGGUGCAUCGCAGCGGAUUGGGUACGGGUAAUCUCUAAUUCUCUAAUCCCUAUGACUUUACGCCGUUGCUGUUUUGCAGUCGCACUAAACGACUUUGUUGCUGCUGCUUGUUUGGAAGCGUCGAUCUUUUCCAAGGAGAAAUAUCUUUGCCUGUAUCAUACUUGGACUUCGAGUGAGACGUCAAUGACAGGCGAAAAGAGAGAAAAACAAGUCGUUAAUCUGACUAACUGCAAUGAGUACCAAGUGUUCCUGCGUCAAGACUGUACUUAGGCUAAUCACAAUGGGGGUUUCAUGUCCAUAUUUCCAAGAAUGCCACGUCAACUUUGUAGAAGGAUGAAACACCCUCUCUCAAUAGAGAGUUUCAUCUCACUAUUUCAUAUGCCAACAUACUACU